CCUACGGGGGGCAGCAGUGGGGAAUAUUGGACAAUGGGGGGAACCCUGAUCCAGCCAUGCCGCGUGUGUGAAGAAGGCCCUCGGGUUGUAAAGCACUUUCAGUGAGGAAGAACGCCUGGUGGUUAAUACCCAUCAGGAAAGACAUCACUCACAGAAGAAGCACCGGCUAACUCCGUGCCAGCAGCCGCGGUAAUACGGAGGGUGCGAGCGUUAAUCGGAAUUACUGGGCGUAAAGCGCGCGUAGGUGGCUUGAUAAGCCGGUUGUGAAAGCCCCGGGCUCAACCUGGGAACGGCAUCCGGAACUGUCAGGCUAGAGUGCAGGAGAGGAAGGUAGAAUUCCCGGUGUAGCGGUGAAAUGCGUAGAGAUCGGGAGGAAUACCAGUGGCGAAGGCGGCCUUCUGGACUGACACUGACACUGAGGUGCGAAAGCGUGGGUAGCAAACAGGAUUAGAUACCCUAGUAGUC
RNAcentral lists this ribosomal RNA (465 nucleotides) under Vreelandella stevensii. RNAcentral describes it as "partial 16S ribosomal RNA". It matches the Rfam family "Bacterial small subunit ribosomal RNA", at positions 338 to 795 of the family's 1533-position model. Lineage: Bacteria; Pseudomonadati; Pseudomonadota; Gammaproteobacteria; Oceanospirillales; Halomonadaceae. The record is from RNAcentral.